Molecule: ribosomal RNA, 121 nt
Filed under: Rosellinia necatrix
Lineage: Eukaryota; Fungi; Ascomycota; Sordariomycetes; Xylariales; Xylariaceae
Source: RNAcentral
AUAUACAACCAUAGCCUCUAAAGAACUCGGGAUCCUGUCCGCUGUCCCAUGGACAAGCUAGAGAGGGCCCAGACUAGUAGUUAGGUCAGUGACGACCAGCAAAUCCCUGAUGUUGUAUGUG